CGUCAAGAGCGUGUGGCCGAGUUGGCAAAGGGCAUGGCCUGGGAAACUGGGUUUGGCUUCGACGAGGGUUCAACCCACGCUUGAGACAUCCGCCUUCUCCUUGGAGAAGAUUUAACCGGCUGGUGUGGUUGCGGGUCUCGUGCCAGCCCCCAGGUUUACCUAGUGUGCACUGGUCGUCAGUAGCGGCUGCGGGUUCCUGGGUUAUCAAAAAAAAAAAA
RNAcentral lists this long non-coding RNA (218 nucleotides) under Olea europaea (common olive). RNAcentral describes it as "long non-coding RNA (OEUR_LNC013711)". Lineage: Eukaryota; Viridiplantae; Streptophyta; Magnoliopsida; Lamiales; Oleaceae. The record is from RNAcentral.